Molecule: ribosomal RNA, 293 nt
Filed under: uncultured bacterium
Lineage: Bacteria
Description: partial 16S ribosomal RNA
Rfam family: Bacterial small subunit ribosomal RNA
Source: RNAcentral
AUGGCCUACGGGAGGCAGCAGUGGGGAAUAUUGCACAAUGGGGGGAACCCUGAUGCAGCGACGCCGCGUGAGUGAAGAAGUAUUUCGGUAUGUAAAGCUCUCUCAGCAGGGAAGAAAAUGACGGUACCUGACUAAGAAGCCCCGGCUAACUACGUGCCAGCAGCCGCGGUAAUACGUAGGGGGCAAGCGUUAUCCGGAUUUACUGGGUGUAAAGGGAGCGUAGACGGCAGAGCAAGUCUGAAGUGAAAGCCCGCGGCCCAACUGCGGGACGGCUUUGGAAACUGCCCGGCUAG